GAUGAACGCUGGCGGCGUGCUUAACACAUGCAAGUCGAACGGAAAGGCCCAAGCUUGCUUGGGUCCUCGAGUGGCGAACGGGUGAGUAACACGUGGGUGAUCUGCCCUGCACUUCGGGAUAAGCCUGGGAAACUGGGUCUAAUACCGGAUAGGACCACAUUUUGGAUGGUGUGGUGGAAAGUUUUUCGGUGUGGGAUGAGCUCGCGGCCUAUCAGCUUGUUGGUGGGGUAAUGGCCUACCAAGGCGUCGACGGGUAGCCGGCCUGAGAGGGUGUACGGCCACAUUGGGACUGAGAUACGGCCCAGACUCCGACGGGAGGCAGCAGUGGGGAAUAUUGCACAAUGGGCGCAAGCCUGAUGCAGCGACGCCGCGUGGGGGAUGACGGCCUUCGGGUUGUAAACUCCUUUCGCUAGGGACGAAGCGUUUUUGUGACGGUACCUGGAGAAGAAGCACCGGCUAACUACGUG
RNAcentral lists this ribosomal RNA (467 nucleotides) under uncultured bacterium. Its description in RNAcentral is "partial 16S ribosomal RNA". It matches the Rfam family "Bacterial small subunit ribosomal RNA", at positions 28 to 507 of the family's 1533-position model. The record is from RNAcentral.